UGAGCACAGACUGAAUGACUCAGUGACGCUUGGAUCAGCUGAGAUCAAAUUCUCAAGCAAACAGAUGGCUGGGGAUAUUCAGUAACAACGGUGAGGAGAGAGAGGAACAAUUCACAUUCGAAGUGACCCUUCCUCAGAAACGGCCUGUUCUGAAGGAACUUUCCCACAGAAAUCACUGGAUUGAAAGCUUCUGGCAACAAAUGGACACAAACCGAUCAAAGGUGAAAGUUACGGUGAACCAGACAGAGCAGUCAGUGGCUGCAUAAAGCAGGAAGGCGUGGAUAUUACACACGGGGACAGAGUCCCACAGGAAAUAAAACUGUUCCCGAUAAACAAUGGGAAUGUGUCUCAGGAUCAGGUCGAGGAUAAUGACCAGGAGAUCCGCCGCUGCCAUGGCCCCCAGGUAUCUGUGUUAGCUGUUUGAAUUCAGAAUUGGCUGGCCAACAGAAGACAACGAGUGGUAGUGGAAGAAAAAUAUUCUGCC
Molecule: long non-coding RNA, 484 nt
Organism: Hemiscyllium ocellatum (epaulette shark)
Lineage: Eukaryota; Metazoa; Chordata; Chondrichthyes; Orectolobiformes; Hemiscylliidae
Exons: 3
Source: RefSeq, a predicted model, not a curated record